AUAUAUUUACCUUAAGACUUGGUAAUUGCUUAGUUUUGACCAGAGUUGUCAUGUUCACAAAAGUAAUUGAAUUGGAACUGAAAUUUUCCUUUUAAGAAGUUUGUUAUGUGAUUAUCUUGAAUUGUGGUUGGUUAGAAUGGUUAACAAGCACACACGCACAACAUGGGUGAUGACAGGUUUGGAUUGACUAAUUGGUUAGAGUUAUGGAUUUUAACUUGAUUGGAUAUUUUGUUUGAAUAUCAUUGGUAUCUUUGAGGCCUGUUUCUACAUAUCAUACUGAUUUAUUACUGGGUUUGUAGGUAUAUUAGAAAGUAGAUCAUGCAUAUGCAUUCAUGUAGUUGAGUUAGUUUGUUUAUUUUUAGUUCUUUUGUGUUUUUGCUUGAGGACAAGCAAAUGUUUAAGUUUGGGGGUAUUUGAUGAGUGAGUUUUAUACACAUGAAUUGGAUACAUUCGAGCUUAAUUUAUUGUUGUUCUCAAGUCUUUUAGAAUAGUUUUUAAGUGUUUGUGUCUAUUCAGGCAUGUUUUAUGUUGUUUUGUAGGAAUUGGGACAAAAGUUGACGUUCAAGGUGGCUAGAUUCGCAUUUUUGGCUUGCCAUUUACAUAGCAGUCACUUCAUAGCCAAUUUGAGUAUUUCUCCGGACCUUAUUUCGAAAUCCUUAAAGAAUAAAAGUUGUAGAUCUACGUCUCCUCUUUCCGGAUCAUCUUGAAUCAAUGAAAUCAGAGUUCGAACGAAAACGUUAUGGCCAUUUUCCCAAAGGACGUCGAAGCAGAAAAUGUCAGAACAUGUGGCAGCGCCGGGGCGCCCAAAAUAUGCUUAUGCCCAGCGCCGGGGCGCUGGGGGCAGGGUUGCAACGUCAAGCCCAGCGCUGGGGCUCUGGGGAAGGGUUUGGUGAUGGCUUGGACGCGUUUUUGGGUGAAUUUUGACACCUUUUUAACUCCAAAUUGGAUUGGGUUUGUUCCUAAGCUAAAAAUUGGACUUGUAACCUAUAAAUACAUGAUGUAAGGCAUAAAAUAAAUGGAGAUUACAUAGAUUAGACUAGAUUAAACACUCCAUUAAAUUAGAAUCUAAACUCUAGUUCUUAAUUAGCCAUUGAAGAUUGAAGCAAAUUGAAGAACACUGAAGAUCAAGAGCAAGAGGGGAGCAUCAGAU
Molecule: long non-coding RNA, 1150 nt
Filed under: Panax ginseng (ginseng)
Lineage: Eukaryota; Viridiplantae; Streptophyta; Magnoliopsida; Apiales; Araliaceae
Description: long non-coding RNA (PGIN_LNC000011)
Source: RNAcentral